UACUUUGGAAGUAGCUGAAGUUGCUCCAGAAACCCUCAGGCUGCUUCUGCAAAGACAGCUCAUAUACUACGUCACUUCAUAUAUGUUGAUAUAAUCCGUAUGAAACAUGCAAAUGUAACAUUGCUUUGCAGAAACGUACAAUAGCAACAUUUGUUCUUAUGACUGGGCUGACUGAGCGGCUCGUGGUUACUCCCCGUGAGAGAGCUGAGAGGUCUCAUUUAUAAAACAGGGCACAGGAUCCACAAACGAAAGCCAAAAAUGGUGUGCGUCAGAAAGUAUUCAACAAUUUCUACAAUCUUCCAUCUCAUCACCUGUGUCGCCAAUUUCCCGUCUCCAAAAUGUUUGUAAGCAUCUCGGCAGGAGGAUUCUCCCAUCGUUUUUUAUACAUCGCAAUAUUUGCAUAGGAAGUGGCGUACGCUUCUUUCAGGCCUGGUUUUGUGCAUAUGCAAUGUUUUGAAUGAGUCCCCAGAUGUCCUCAGGCUAGCUAGACCUGUUUCAGUCCCGAGCCAAGAGCUCCUCAGUAGCAGUUUCUAAAGUGCCAAAGCUGAAAAAUCAGUUUGCAGAAAUGCCUCAGAAAGUUCCCUCUGAAUUUACAGGAAACAUAAUUCCAAAGAGUUAAUGCAGGUUUCCAAUUUGAAAAGUCUAGGACCACUACUAGCUUUUUCCAGAGCUUUAAAUUGCAUCUCAUGGCCUUCCUCAUCAGAUGUGAGUUUGUUUUGCAGUCAUAGAAACAGCUCAGGUGUCAUCACCAGACCUCAACAAGCAGAUGAAUUUAAGUAAUCAAAUUCAAUUUAGCUUCAGAAAUUUAUUACAAAUUUAGAAUUACUAUUAACGUUAAUGUGUAAAACAAAUUCAGAUGUGCUCAAUUCAAAUGUAGCUGCAGGCACAAGUGAAGAGUGAUUCAACACAGGCUGAAGUCUUUAGGUGUAAUUGAGUCCAAUCAGCCUGUUGAGCUCCAGCUGUUGUAUCAGCAGCCUGCAGGCCUGCAACUGUUAACAGAGAACUUCUAAAGUGAACUGCGAGGGAACAAACCCGUGAAACACAUCCAGCCAUGACCUUACAGCUUAAAACUGAAGCUCGACUCUUUGACCUGCACUGCUCUGUCGGGCUGACGGACUGGGACAUGGACAAGGAGCUGAAACUGGCAACGACCACAGACCAGUUUUACCACGAUGACAAACUGAAUGAUCAGUACGUGGUCCAGAGGCCGUCCGCAAGAGCCUCAAGAAGAAAAGAUGAAUUCAUUUGGUACGAUAAAACAUCAGACACCUUUGUGAAGCCAAACCUGUGGCUGCUGGUGAAUCCCAACAUCGCCUGCCCGAUCCAGUACGGAGGACAUACGGCAGAUCCACAAACUCUCUGUGAACCUGCUGAGGAAACACAGACACCUUCACUGAACCCUGCAGAGACCCAACGUCAGCUCACCACAGAGCGCAACAUGUUUACCCCCCAUUAUGCUCCUCUUCAGAUAAAGAACGAAGGCGUCUCCUGUCAACCAGCCAAGAACAGACGCAAGGCAAGAACCACGAAGGCCAGGGACAAUAAAACCCUGAAGCCAGGGUGCUGGCCUCGUCCACCUGUGAACUACUGCAUCCUCAUCGCCUUAGCGCUCAAAAGCAGCCACACUGGGAGCCUCAAAGUCCAGCAGAUCUACACCUUCACCAGGCUGUUGGAGCUUCCUCAUGCUCCUCAUACUCCUUCCUGUCCAUUCCCAGAGAGCACUUCCCCUUCUUUCAGACGGCACCAGAUGGCUGGAAGAACACCAUCCGACACAACCUGUGCUUCAAUAGCAGCUUCCGCAAAACCUGCAACCAGCUGUGCAGAGACGGCAAGAGGAAGUCGUGCUUUUGGCACCUGACUCUGGAUGGCCACCGCCGGCUGAAGGACGAGAUCAGCAUGUUGACGGGAGAGUCCUUCAAGCAGCUGGAGAGGAGCAUGUCCCACCCAGAUGUAAUUCAGAGUUUAUUUGAACUCUGAUUUGAGGUGUGAAAGGCCUCAAAGAGUUAAAAUCAAU
Epinephelus fuscoguttatus (brown-marbled grouper) is the source of this 2014-nucleotide RNA transcript. It is a transcript of the gene named forkhead box R1, with no coding region annotated. NCBI's taxonomy places the organism in Eukaryota, Metazoa, Chordata, Actinopteri, Perciformes, Serranidae. The record is from RefSeq and is a predicted model, not a curated record. The transcript is spliced from 7 exons.